This 500-nucleotide ribosomal RNA is filed under the name uncultured bacterium. Its description in RNAcentral is "partial 16S ribosomal RNA". It matches the Rfam family "Bacterial small subunit ribosomal RNA", at positions 30 to 523 of the family's 1533-position model. The record is from RNAcentral.
AUUGAACGCUGGCGGAAUGCUUUACACAUGCAAGUCGAACGGCAGCACGGACUUCGGUCUGGUGGCGAGUGGCGAACGGGUGAGUAAUGUAUCGGAACGUGCCCAGUCGUGGGGGAUAACGUAGUGAAAAUUACGCUAAUACCGCAUACGAUCUAUGGAUGAAAGCGGGGGAUCGCAAGACCUCGCGCGAUUGGAGCGGCCGAUAUCAGAUUAGGUAGUUGGUGGGGUAAAGGCCCACCAAGCCAACGAUCUGUAGCUGGUCUGAGAGGACGACCAGCCACAAUGGAACUGAGACACGGUCCAGACUCCUACGGGAGGCAGCAGUGGGGAAUUUUGGACAAUGGGGGCAACCCUGAUCCAGCCAUGCCGCGUGAGUGAAGAAGGCCUUCGGGUUGUAAAGCUCUUUCGGCCGGGAAGAAAUCGCACGGGCUAAUACCCUGUGUGGAUGACGGUACCGGAAUAAGAAGCACCGGCUAACUACGUGCCAGCCGCCGCAGUAA